UACGUAGGGGGCUAGCGUUGUCCGGAAUCAUUGGGCGUAAAGCGCGUGUAGGCGGUCCGGUAAGUCCGCUGUGAAAGUCGGGGGCUCAACCCUCGAAAGCCGGUGGAUACUGCUGUGCUAGAGUGCAGAAGGGGCAAUCGGAAUUCUUGGUGUAGCGGUGAAAUGCGUAGAUAUCAAGAGGAACACCUGAGGUGAAGACGGGUUGCUGGGCUGACACUGACGCUGAGGCGCGAAAGCCAGGGGAGCAAACGGG
Molecule: ribosomal RNA, 253 nt
Filed under: uncultured bacterium
Lineage: Bacteria
Description: partial 16S ribosomal RNA
Rfam family: Bacterial small subunit ribosomal RNA
Source: RNAcentral